UUUGAGCAAAAUGUAUUUCAUUACUUUGGUGGAAUUUUGUUUUUUAAGGUUGUUUUCUUUAAAUUGUGACACAAUGAAUGAAAUUUUUGCGGAAAAAUGUGUUUAGCACCAUAUAUCAUCACCCGAUUGAUGAAAUACAUAGGGAGCACAAAUCAGUUAAUCUGCCUAACUUAAUACCUCUACAAUGGUUCCUGGCAUAAUGAAAAAAGCCCCUUGCCAAAAAUAAGAAGGGCCCACCGGCUAUACCAGUGACUUCACAGAAGGAACCCACUCCAAUCAGAGCAACAUGUGUAUCCCCCCCAAGUACCAAGGAGUCAAGGAGGAAGUCAACAUAUCUGCUAAAUUUUCCUCAGUUGGUACAUAUUCAACAGAUAUUUUCUUGUGUAAUACUAAAUCUUUUAAAUAAUGAUUCUUUAUAUCUA
Long non-coding RNA from Cylas formicarius (sweet potato weevil), 422 nucleotides. RefSeq lists it as uncharacterized. The record is from RefSeq and is a predicted model, not a curated record. Lineage: Eukaryota; Metazoa; Arthropoda; Insecta; Coleoptera; Brentidae. The transcript has 2 exons.